UACGGAGGGUGCAAGCGUUGUUCGGAAUGACUGGGCGUAAAGCGCACGUAGGCGGGUCCGUAAGUCGGAUGUGAAAUCCCCAGGCUUAACCUGGGAACUGCACCCGAAACUAUGGAUCUUGAAUGCUUGAGAGGUUGGUGGAAUUCCAGGUGUAGGAGUGAAAUCCGUAGAUAUCUGGAGGAACACCGGAGGCGAAGGCGGCCAACUGGCAAUGCAUUGAC
Molecule: ribosomal RNA, 221 nt
Filed under: uncultured prokaryote
Description: partial 16S ribosomal RNA
Rfam family: Bacterial small subunit ribosomal RNA
Source: RNAcentral